Long non-coding RNA from Pyrus x bretschneideri (Chinese white pear), 1044 nucleotides. RefSeq lists it as uncharacterized. NCBI's taxonomy places the organism in Eukaryota, Viridiplantae, Streptophyta, Magnoliopsida, Rosales, Rosaceae. The record is from RefSeq and is a predicted model, not a curated record. The transcript is spliced from 2 exons.
CCAUCUCUUAUAUAAACCCAAGGCGGUGCAGGUUUAAAUUCAAUGAUCUUAAUAUAAUCAAUUAUAUUUCACAACAUGGUUCGUCCAAUACCAGAGGUUGCAACCAACAACUUCGCCUCAAUGCCGCUAGCAAUCACCUUGUUCGUCUCAGUCUCUGCCCUUGUAGCUUUAUGUGCCAAAGCCAACCAUGUACGCCGCCGUGCCUCGCCCGUAAAACAAACUAAGUCGCCCUCGGCGGCACCUAAGCAACUUGUGGCCAGCCUCAGCAACAAGGCAAUUCCACUCGUCUCCAAAAAUAAAGGGGAAGAAGUUGAAGCAGUGGAUGAUGGGUUUGGAGAAGGAGGGGUGUGGCAGAGGUCAAUUUUGAUGGGAGAAAAGUGCCAGCCACCUGAAUUUUCAGGUGUGAUAUAUUAUGAUGAGUGUGGAAAACAACUUUCUGAGCUGCCACCAAGGUCGCCUAGGGUCGCCAGUCCCUUGCCAAACUUUUUCUCUCCUGCGGCUAGAGAUAUGCGACCUUGCUAGCUAUAGUUGAACUGUGUAGGAUUGGAGAUUGAAGACGAUAGAGGCAUGAAUGGGAACUUGGUGGAGGCGGCUAAGCAGCUAAGUAGAAGAUUUAGAAGUUUUGUAUGUCGUUGGCACUUGGAUCCUCCGUGGCUGAUGCCGUUUUUGGAGGUGGAGACGGAGCCACAGAGUCGAUGAUUUCUUGUGAUGGCUAGUAGAGAUCUUUUUUCUUUUCGAUGGAUUUUUCCACCUUGGGAAAUUUUCAAAUCAAAAGGUUUUUUUUAGAAGUCCAUGUUUGUCAUAUUUUCUUUUUCUUGUUGGUUCAUACUACAUCUAUGUAUUACUUUUUAAUGGUUGGGAAUGAAAUUCAUCUUUAACGAUAUAAAAAAACUGUGUAAGAUUAUUUCCUAGCUGUAUGGUAUCAACAGCAUCGGGAAGGUGUGAAAUGUAAUAAAACCAUUUAUUAUGGUAAACAUGUUUUUUUUCCUUUUAAACAGUAAGUUUAAAUGUCAAAAUGGUCUCUGCGUUUUGUUCUAUAGCCAA